GGGGCUGAUUCAGGAUUCGACGGGAUUAGCGAAGCCCAAAGUGCAUGUCGAGGUGCGGUAGGCCUCGUAAACAAACCGCAAAAAAAUAGUCGCAAACGACGAAAACUACGCACUAGCAGCUUAAUAACCUGCAUAGAGCCUUCUCUCCCUAGCUUUAGCUUGUAAGACGGGGAUCAAGAGGAGUCAAAACCAAACAAGAUCGUGUGGAAGCCGCAACUUGAGGAUCGAAGCAUUAAAUUAAACCAAGUUCGCUUACUUAUCGCGUGUCUAUCCGCAGUGAGUAAGUUAAAUUAAAGAUUAGACUAAACAUGUAGUACUGACGGUAGAGAAAUUUCGGACGGGGGUUCAACUCCCCCCAGCUCCACCA
Molecule: transfer-messenger RNA, 367 nt
Filed under: Pasteurellaceae
Lineage: Bacteria; Pseudomonadati; Pseudomonadota; Gammaproteobacteria; Pasteurellales
Also listed under: 1 other name
Description: Phocoenobacter skyensis Standard tmRNA
Rfam family: transfer-messenger RNA
About the family: Bacterial tmRNA, also known as 10Sa RNA or SsrA, is named for its dual tRNA and mRNA-like properties. Its role is to liberate the mRNA from a stalled ribosome.
Source: RNAcentral